ACGGGUGAGUAAUGCCUAGGAAUCUGCCUGGUAGUGGGGGACAACGUUUCGAAAGGAACGCUAAUACCGCAUACGUCCUACGGGAGAAAGCAGGGGACCUUCGGGCCUUGCGCUAUCAGAUGAGCCUAGGUCGGAUUAGCUAGUUGGUGAGGUAAUGGCUCACCAAGGCGACGAUCCGUAACUGGUCUGAGAGGAUGAUCAGUCACACUGGAACUGAGACACGGUCCAGACUCCUACGGGAGGCAGCAGUGGGGAAUAUUGGACAAUGGGCGAAAGCCUGAUCCAGCCAUGCCGCGUGUGUGAAGAAGGUCUUCGGAUUGUAAAGCACUUUAAGUUGGGAGGAAGGGUUGUAGAUUAAUACUCUGCAAUUUUGACGUUACCGACAGAAUAAGCACCGGCUAACUCUGUGCCAGCAGCCGCGGUAAUACAGAGGGUGCAAGCGUUAAUCGGAAUUACUGGGCGUAAAGCGCGCGUAGGUGGUUCGUUAAGUUGGAUGUGAAAUCCCCGGGCUCAACCUGGGAACUGCAUCCAAAACUGGCGAGCUAGAGUAUGGUAGAGGGUGGGUGGAAUUUCCUGUGUAGCGGUG
This 586-nucleotide ribosomal RNA is filed under the name Pseudomonas sp. StFLB117. RNAcentral describes it as "bacterial SSU rRNA". It matches the Rfam family "Bacterial small subunit ribosomal RNA", at positions 102 to 683 of the family's 1533-position model. Lineage: Bacteria; Pseudomonadati; Pseudomonadota; Gammaproteobacteria; Pseudomonadales; Pseudomonadaceae. RNAcentral also lists the same sequence under 1 other name. The record is from RNAcentral.